RNAcentral lists this ribosomal RNA (208 nucleotides) under uncultured bacterium. RNAcentral describes it as "partial 16S ribosomal RNA". It matches the Rfam family "Bacterial small subunit ribosomal RNA", at positions 568 to 774 of the family's 1533-position model. The record is from RNAcentral.
CGCGUAGGCGGGUAUUCAAGUCUGUGGUGAAAUCCGGCAGCUCAACUGUCGAAUUGCCGUGGAUACUGGGUAUCUCGAGGGAGGUAGGGGUGCGCGGAACUGAUGGUGGAGCGGUGAAAUGCGUUGAUAUCAUCAGGAACUCCGGUGGCGAAGGCGGCACACUGGACCUCUUCUGACGCUGAGGCGCGAAAGCCAGGGGGAGCAAACG